GCUGAACAAUCAGACAAUACAAAUGAAGAUCUGAAUCAGCUGCAGCACAUUUUAUUUAUUUUUCUCGGUGGAGAUGAAAUAAGUAAAAUAGUGGAACAAGUAGAUAACUGUUGCAGGAAGAACAGCUGAAAAUACGACAGACACUAGUAUGAGGCAUGAGGCAUGACAUGGACCCAGCAAAACCAUCAAAAAUGUCAAUCAUGAUGCUUAUACUACCAUAUGCAAUUGUGACACCAGUGAAGAUAAUGAAAAUGCUCCCAUUAGUACCAAGCCCUCCUUUGAUGAGUGCUUUUGAUUCAAACUGGACUGGAGACAAGAAUUAGGUCCUCCUAAGAGAGGGCCUAAAGCAGUUUUCUGAAUAAACACAACUUUGAAAAUGUUUCUGUGGAGCA
This 392-nucleotide long non-coding RNA is filed under the name Anas platyrhynchos platyrhynchos (common mallard). Its description in RNAcentral is "lncRNA (ENSAPLG00000028482.1)". The record is from RNAcentral. Lineage: Eukaryota; Metazoa; Chordata; Aves; Anseriformes; Anatidae.